RNAcentral lists this ribosomal RNA (236 nucleotides) under Vibrio alginolyticus. RNAcentral's name for it is "partial 23S ribosomal RNA". It matches the Rfam family "Bacterial large subunit ribosomal RNA", at positions 2713 to 2925 of the family's 2925-position model. The record is from RNAcentral. Lineage: Bacteria; Pseudomonadati; Pseudomonadota; Gammaproteobacteria; Vibrionales; Vibrionaceae.
UGUUCGGGUUGUGUCGCCAGACGCAUUGCCCGGUAGCUAAGUUCGGGAUCGAUAACCGCUGAAAGCAUCUAAGCGGGAAGCGAGCCUUGAGAUGAGUUCUCCCUGAUACUUUAAGUAUCCUAAAGGGUUGUCGUAGACUACGACGUUGAUAGGCAGGGUGUGUAAGCGUUGUGAGGCGUUGAGCUAACCUGUACUAAUUGCCCGUGAGGCUUAACCAUACAACACCCAAGGGGUUU